AUGCUGCGCACUGCGAUCCACCCUGCUUCAGAUCCACCUUGCUGUGACAGCUUUGUUCCACAACGUAUUCCUGCAUUUCUUCAAUGGUUGUUGAAAGUGGGACAAAACCGGUUGUCUGGGAGCCAAAGUGUGCAUCCAGACCUCUCCACCCCUGCGCGAGCAGCCAGCUCACCGAGCGAGGAUCCCCCUGGUUCUCCUUCUGAACUCGUGUACCUUAAACUUCUGUCAGCACAGCAGACUUGCUUCCACAGGUUGGGUAUAAAAUAUUUCCUGCUCAGCUUAUGGCAUCGUGCUUUGAGCAUUUUGCUGUACUUAGCAUCCAUAUGUAAUAUAUUUUUCAAAACAGUUUUUCAGGGAAGGUGAGUGAAUGUGUGUGUUCUUAACCUCACUCAAUGGACAAAAUGGACUCCAGGUUUUGCAUCUCAUUUAUCCACAAUAAUAGUGAUGAAAUCAAAAAUCCAAUUAAAGAUUUUUUUUUUAAGUAAGGUCCAUUCGCAAUCAAAAACUGCAACUAGUAGUUGUUCUGACGCAAUCACUGUUCCCUAAAAAAAUGGAUCGUUACCUGACCACAGGCAUCUCCAGAACUUCUCAGCAAUAUCUGAACUUUACUGUAGUUGGAUGAUGCUCUUGAAUGUUCUGAGGAAACAGCAGUAGAUGGGGGGGGUUGUUUUAUUGAAUUUGAAAAACAAGCAUCUCAACUAAAUGUAUUUUAUAUUUAAUUAAUUUCAAAAGUUGUAACUCUUAUUUUCUAAUUCAGAUCUCAAGGAUUAAUGUAUUUUUCAACUCAGAUAUUAUCAGACAGCGUUAAAGUAAUAUUUCUUCUCCUUGGUAAGCACAAAACAAAAUUGAAGAAAUUCCCAAAACACAGUCAAUGCUCUACCUGAGGGUUGAAUAACGAGGCCCCAACUUUACACACAAAAGGCUCGCUGCCACCAGAGGGGCACAUUGCCUAACCCCACUCAGUUCCCUCACUCCUGCGCACAAGCAGAAACCUCACUGCCAAGCUGAUUUUGGUAUCUUUAUACCAUGCUGACGUUCAAAAUGCUGAAAGCUUUUUCAUCUCCGGUGUGCUGAAAAUGCAUCUGGUUCUAUAAAAAACGGUAUUCUGUAACACAACUGGUUAAAAUCUUUAGGACAACUUAUAAUCAGAGAACGUAAAUAUUUCAAACUGAUUAGGGGAAGGCAACGUCUAUAGUUUGUUUUCUUUAAGAGUUUCUUCUGCUACAAAAUUGGAAAACAAACAAGCAACAACCAAACCAUAAAGACAUUACAAAAUAGCAAACAACAUUCAGACAGGAACUUCAAAACAAUCAGGAAGCAUUAAGCAGUGCAGUACUAGCCUCCUAAUGACAGGAUUUAUUAC
Molecule: long non-coding RNA, 1363 nt
Filed under: Anser brachyrhynchus (Pink-footed goose)
Lineage: Eukaryota; Metazoa; Chordata; Aves; Anseriformes; Anatidae
Description: lncRNA (ENSABRG00000000592.1)
Source: RNAcentral